Molecule: ribosomal RNA, 481 nt
Filed under: uncultured bacterium
Lineage: Bacteria
Description: partial 16S ribosomal RNA
Rfam family: Bacterial small subunit ribosomal RNA
Source: RNAcentral
GAUGAACGCUGGCGGCGUGCUUAACACAUGCCAGUCGAACGAAGCACUUUAUUUGAUUUCCUUCGGGACUGAUUAUUUUGUGACUGAGUGGCGGACGGGUGAGUAACGCGUGGGUAACCUGCCUUGUACAGGGGGAUAACAGUUGGAAACGGCUGCUAAUACCGCAUAAGCGCACAGCAUCGCAUGAUGCAGUGUGAAAAACUCCGGUGGUAUAAGAUGGACCCGCGUUGGAUUAGCUAGUUGGUGAGGUAACGGCCCACCAAGGCGACGAUCCAUAGCCGAGAUGAGAGGGUGACCGGCCACAUUGGGACUGAGACACGGCCCAAACUCCUACGGGAGGCAGCAGUGGGGAAUAUUGCACAAUGGGCGAAAGCCUGAUGCAGCGACGCCGCGUGAGCGAAGAAGUAUUUAGGUAUGUAAAGCUCUAUCAGCAGGGAAGAUAAUGACGGUACCUGACUAAGAAGCACCGGCUAAAUACGUG